This 1592-nucleotide ribosomal RNA is filed under the name Klebsiella ornithinolytica. RNAcentral describes it as "bacterial SSU rRNA". It matches the Rfam family "Bacterial small subunit ribosomal RNA". Lineage: Bacteria; Pseudomonadati; Pseudomonadota; Gammaproteobacteria; Enterobacterales; Enterobacteriaceae. The record is from RNAcentral.
UUUUCUCCUCNGNCANNANUGGUAACNAUGUUCCCGNUAGUUUGAUCNNGCUCAGNAAGUCGUAACAAGGUAGCNUAGAGUUUGAUCCUGGCUCAGAUUGAACGCUGGCGGCAGGCCUAACACAUGCAAGUCGAGCGGUANCACAGAGAGCUUGCUCUCGGGUGACGAGCGGCGGACGGGUGAGUAAUGUCUGGGAAACUGCCUGAUGGAGGGGGAUAACUACUGGAAACGGUAGCUAAUACCGCAUAACGUCGCAAGACCAAAGUGGGGGACCUUCGGGCCUCAUGCCAUCAGAUGUGCCCAGAUGGGAUUAGCUAGUAGGUGGGGUAAUGGCUCACCUAGGCGACGAUCCCUAGCUGGUCUGAGAGGAUGACCAGCCACACUGGAACUGAGACACGGUCCAGACUCCUACGGGAGGCAGCAGUGGGGAAUAUUGCACAAUGGGCGCAAGCCUGAUGCAGCCAUGCCGCGUGUAUGAAGAAGGCCUUCGGGUUGUAAAGUACUUUCAGCGAGGAGGAAGGCNUUAAGGUUAAUAACCUUGGNGAUUGACGUUACUCGCAGAAGAAGCACCGGCUAACUCCGUGCCAGCAGCCGCGGUAAUACGGAGGGUGCAGUCGUUAAUCGGAAUUACUGGGCGUAAAGCGCACGCAGGCGGUCUGUCAAGUCGGAUGUGAAAUCCCCGGGCUCAACCUGGGAACUGCAUUCGAAACUGGCAGGCUAGAGUCUUGUAGAGGGGGGUAGAAUUCCAGGUGUAGCGGUGAAAUGCGUAGAGAUCUGGAGGAAUACCGGUGGCGAAGGCGGCCCCCUGGANCNAAAGNACUGACGCUCAGGUGCGAAAGCGUGGGGAGCAAACAGGAUUAGAUACCCUGGUAGUCCACGCCGUAAACGAUGUCGNACGUUGGNAGGGGUUNGNUGNNCCNCUUGAGGCGUGGCUUCCGGAGCUAACGCGUUAAGUCGACCGCCUGGGGAGUACGGCCGCAAGGUUAAAACUCAAAUGAAUUGACGGGGGCCCGCACAAGCGGUGGAGCAUGUGGUUUAAUUCGAUGCAACGCGAAGAACCUUACCUACUCUUGACAUCCAGAGAACUUAGCAGAGAUGCUUUGGUGCCUUCGGGAACUCUGAGACAGGUGCUGCAUGGCUGUCGUCAGCUCGUGUUGUGAAAUGUUGGGUUAAGUCCCGCAACGAGCGCAACCCUUAUCCUUUGUUGCCAGCGAUUCGGUCGGGAACUCAAAGGAGACUGCCAGUGAUAAACUGGAGGAAGGUGGGGAUGACGUCAAGUCAUCAUGGCCCUUACGAGUAGGGCUACACACGUGCUACAAUGGCAUAUACAAAGAGAAGCGACCUCGCGAGAGCAAGCGGACCUCAUAAAGUAUGUCGUAGUCCGGAUUGGAGUCUGCAACUCGACUCCAUGAAGUCGGAAUCGCUAGUAAUCGUAGAUCAGAAUGCUACGGUGAAUACGUUCCCGGGCCUUGUACACACCGCCCGUCACACCAUGGGAGUGGGUUGCAAAAGAAGUAGGUAGCUUAACCUUCGGGAGGGCGCUUACCACUUUGUGAUUCAUGACUGGGGUGAAGUCGUACAANGGUAACCCA